This 284-nucleotide ribosomal RNA is filed under the name uncultured Streptococcus sp. Its description in RNAcentral is "partial 16S ribosomal RNA". It matches the Rfam family "Bacterial small subunit ribosomal RNA", at positions 1096 to 1382 of the family's 1533-position model. The record is from RNAcentral. Lineage: Bacteria; Bacillati; Bacillota; Bacilli; Lactobacillales; Streptococcaceae.
GCGCAACCCCUAUUGUUAGUUGCCAUCAUUCAGUUGGGCACUCUAGCGAGACUGCCGGUAAUAAACCGGAGGAAGGUGGGGAUGACGUCAAUCAUCAUGCCCCUUAUGACCUGGGCUACACACGUGCUACAAUGGUUGGUACAACGAGUUGCGAGUCGGUGACGGCGAGCUAAUCUCUUAAAGCCAAUCUCAGUUCGGAUUGUAGGCUGCAACUCGCCUACAUGAAGUCGGAAUCGCUAGUAAUCGCGGAUCAGCACGCCGCGGUGAAUACGUUCCCGGGCCUU